AAUUGUUGCUCCGCUCCGCACCAAGUUGCAGUCCGCGGCUCUUCCCCCGCGAGGCGGCGGCGCGGCCGGGGCCGGGAUGAGGGGGGCGGUGGGGGCGAGGCGGGACGGCCCGCGGGCCCUGUCGCUGCCGCUGGUGCUGGCCGUGGCGUGCGCGGCGCGCAGCGCCGACGGGCCCAGCAACAUGUCCUACGUGAAGGAGACGGUGGACAGGCUGCUCCAAGGCUACGACAUCCGCCUCCGGCCCGACUUCGGAGGUCCGCCCGUGGACGUGGGCAUGCGGAUAGAGAUCGCCAGCAUCGACGUGGUCUCGGAAGUCAACAUGGACUACACCCUGACCAUGUACUUCCAGCAGUCCUGGAGGGAUAAAAGGCUCUCUUACUCUGGAAUACCUUUGAACCUAACUCUGGACAACAGAGUGGCUGACCAGCUCUGGGUGCCGGACACGUAUUUCCAAAAUGACAAGAAAUCAUUUGUCCAUGGGGUGACAGUGAAAAAUCGAAUGAUUCGACUCCAUCCAGAUGGGACAGUCCUUUAUGGCCUACGGAUCACAACAACAGCUGCUUGCAUGAUGGAUCUACGCAGAUAUCCUCUGGAUGAACAAAAUUGCACACUAGAAAUUGAAAGUUAUGGAUACACUACUGAUGAUAUUGAAUUUUACUGGAAUGGAGGAGAGUCGGCAGUAACGGGAGUUAAUAACAUCGAGCUCCCGCAAUUUUCUAUUGUUGAUUACAAGAUGGUAUCAAAGAGAGUAGAAUUUACAACAGGAGCAUAUCCUCGAUUAUCACUUAGCUUCCGGCUUAAAAGAAAUAUUGGAUACUUCAUUUUGCAAACCUAUAUGCCUUCCACGCUGAUCACAAUUCUGUCGUGGGUAUCCUUCUGGAUCAAUUAUGAUGCCUCUGCAGCCAGAGUUGCUCUAGGAAUCACAACUGUGCUGACCAUGACCACCAUCAGCACCCACCUCAGAGAGACCUUGCCAAAGAUUCCCUACGUCAAGGCAAUAGAUAUUUACCUGAUGGGAUGCUUUGUGUUUGUGUUCCUGGCCUUGCUGGAAUAUGCCUUUGUAAACUACAUAUUCUUUGGGAAAGGACCCCAACGUCAAAAAAAGGCAGCAGGCAGGGCAAGACAAGCUACAGGCGAGAAGAGCAGACUGGAAACAAAUAGAGUCCAGGUAAAAUGUUCAAGCUAACUUUUCAAACAUUAUUUCUGCUGUGACAAUGUUGAUGUAUAUGAUGAUAGAGAUAAGUGCAGUUUGAACACGUAUGCAAAAGCAUUUGAGAUUGUCUAGAGAAAAAUCAUAUUUUAAGGAGAUUACAGCAACAUAUGUUUUUUUCCGUCUUCAACUGAAAACAGAGUAAGAAACUACAGAAAAUGGAAAUGAGUAUUCAGAAUAAGUAUUUCUUUGCAGCACAGAAGAAAUACAAGGGUACAAGAAAGUUAAAUAUUUACCAUUUCAAGUGUAUAUUUCUUUGCUCUAGAAGGUGUUAUAGAAGAAAUGUUUAUUAUAUAGUUCCUCUUUACACACAGAAACUUCACCAAAAAUAGAAAGCAAAGACAGACACUGUGGCUUCAGUGAGUUUUGAAUGAAGCCCACACCACUGAGCUUCCAGGAAUGCAAGGAGGAUGCUGCUAGGUUAUAACAACUUUCACAGAUGUCAGGAUUUUUCCCUCAGGCUAAAUUCAAGCAGACCACAGCUACUCCCUCUUAAAAAACAAGCCAGACAAACUCCAAGAAGUAAUACUAUGGACAUUUUUUUUUUAACAGGGAGGAGUUUAAUUUAGCAGUACACCACUGAGCACUUGCAAACUUCUAUAAACCUAUUCCAUUUUUUCCCAGUUUUUCAGAAAUAAACACUUCCCUCAGGUGUAUUUGGCCCAGUCUGACUCAGAGGAAAAUACAUAUCCUAAUGAGCCAAAAAUUUUCUUCUGUUCUCUGCUUUUCUUACAAUAUGUUACAUCCAAAUAUUAAUGAGAUCUUACCCAGGCUGUCCUAUAAAAUUCUUUACUGUUGUGGCCAGUGGUGAUAACGUUUGGACAAAACUAUAUUUGAGCCCCCUGUUCAGCUUGAAGAAUGAGACUGACACAUAAAACUCUAACAGGUAGGACUUUAGCUUUAUGCAUGGUUGCAAUUUCACAUACGUGUCAGGAAGUGCAUUUCAGAAACUCUGUGAUAUUUUAUUAGUUCUAGAGCUGUGUGUCUUGUGUCCCAGCAGCCACACCACUACAGCUCAGCAUCAUUAACAGAGUCGUCAUGUCCUCAGUGAACUCACGAGCCCACUAAAAGUCCUUACUCGUAUUCACCUCCUGUCCCAAUGUGUAGGAGAUGCUUUAUUACAGUGGGUGCACAAAUUCAGUUGAGGCUUGCAGCAGUCUCCAAGGUCCCACAAAGUAUUGUCCUCCACAGAGCACAGGAGAUAAGCUACCCUGAUACAGAUUGUUGUGUGCAGACACUGUCUAUCCAUUUCUACGGAAAGUAAGGAAGGAAAAAAACCCAACAACACCCACAAACUCUGACCAGGCACCUCAACAGUUCCUGAGAUAACCCGGCCUAGGUGAGAAGCAGCACAGCAAGGGUUCAUGAUGAAGAGGGAAGCAACACUUCUUCAGAGGUCAGCCUUGGCUACAUGGGCCCCAGUGCACUGAACUGAGUAAAGGAUGAGAAAGUGUAAAGGAUAACAGUGCAGCAGGAAGAAUGCAUGUGACCUGAGCAGUGGAACACAGUAAGGUUAUGUGAUCUCUAGUGAAGACAGCUCCCAGCCCCUCUCCGUCAUGUUUUGAGAUUUUUCACUGUAUUAUGACGCCUGUACCAGAGCAGGGGAAAGGUUUUUCUGGAGCACAGAAGAAGUACAGCUGUGAAGAUAAUGCUCAUUCGCAUCUGACAUGCAACUCCUUCAACUAAAAGAGUUCAAAUUCCUUCACCAGAUAACAAAAGCAUUAGACAUGUGAGCAACACUCAGCAAACUGACCGUGAUAUUAAAACAGUAUAGAGAAGACCAGAUGGAAAAUGAAACCAUACUGCUGUUUCAUGUGUGGGUGUCCCUUGCUCUACAGACUGAACAAGGUGGAAAUAAAGCCUCUCCAGUUUCACAAUUUAUGCCAUUUUAAUUUUUAAUAUGCAAAAAAAUAUUAAUUUGUAGUAAACAAGCUUUCUGUUUCUCUGAAUAAAGCAUAAAGACUGUU
RNA transcript from Harpia harpyja (harpy eagle), 3177 nucleotides. It is a transcript of the gene named gamma-aminobutyric acid type A receptor subunit beta1, with no coding region annotated. Lineage: Eukaryota; Metazoa; Chordata; Aves; Accipitriformes; Accipitridae. The record is from RefSeq and is a predicted model, not a curated record. The transcript has 10 exons.